CCUGCCAGGUUGAAACUCCCAACGCUCGUGCAAAGCCGCGUUCAAUGACCUGCAACCCUGACACGCUGGGAAUAGAGGCCAGGCAGCGAGCCAUGGAGUCCCCCGUGAGACCGGGCUUCCACAGACUGGAGGUCCAGAAAACGACGUGGGACGUCGCGGAGAGGUACGCGACGCUGAGGCCGAUCGGCUCCGGAGCUUACGGGACAGUUUGUUCUGCCUUGGACCAGAAGACCAAGGAGAAGGUGGCCAUCAAGAAGCUGUCUCGUCCGUUCCAGUCCCUCAUCCACGCCAAGCGGGCCUACAGGGAACUCCGGCUGCUCCGCCACAUACAGCAUGAAAAUGUGAUCUGCCUCCUGGACGUCUUCACACCGGACCACACGCUGGAGAAAUUCCAAACCUUCUAUAUGGUAAUGCCAUUAGUCGCCCAGGAUCUGGGCCACAUUAUGAAGAAGCGGAGAUUAACUGAUCGCAUCAUCACAUACCUGUUCUACCAGCUGCUAAAAGGACUCAAGUAUAUUCACUCUGCUGGGAUCAUUCAUCGGGAUCUGAAGCCUGGUAACCUCGCUGUGGAUGAGAACUGUGAAUUAAAGAUACUGGAUUUUGGCCUGGCAAGACAGACGGAGAGUGAGAUGACCGGUUAUGUUGUGACGCGCUGGUACAGAGCACCAGAGGUCAUAUUCAACUGGAUGCACUACAGUCAAACAGUGGACGUCUGGUCAGCCGCCUGCAUCCUGGCUGAGAUGAUUACUGGCCAGGUGCUUUUCCCGGGACACGACAGUAUUGACCAGCUGAAUAAGAUCCUCCGUAUGACAGGAACGCCAGACUCCUCCCUGGUCCAGAAGAUGCAGAGUAAGGACGCGCAGUCGUACGUGCUGGGUCUUCGUCCGCAGAAGAAGAAAAACUUCAAGGAAGUUUUUGCGUCAAUGGAGGAAAACGCUGUAGGCAUCAUGGAGGGGAUGUUGCUGCUGGACCCAGAGACGAGGCUGACGGUGAAACAGGGACUGUGCCACCCUUUCCUGGCUGAAUAUCAUGACCCGGAGAGCGAGCCGGACUCGGGGCCUUACGACGACUCCUUCGAGAGCCUGGAGCUCGCCGUCGGGGAGUGGAAGAGUCUUAUCCACAUGGAGAUCAUGACCUUUGACCCUGAGAAUCCCAGUAAGACAGCCAUGUAGGAUGCUGUGAUGCGCCGGUGCCUCCCAAUGGUUGGUUAUAAUACCAACUCUAAAGCCACACUGUGAGACUCAGACAAACAUAAAACAAUAAUCCAAAUCAUUUUUGCCAUAUCGGAUAUGCGCCGCGAUCAAAAUGCAUUACAUAGGGUUGCUUUACUUGGUACGGUGGCCUGUACAGGACAGUAGAAAGAGGUUUGGCUCACGUGGAGGUUGUUUCUAUUCUAUGAUAUUCAGACAGCAGAAGCAGUUGGCCUGCAUGUGAAGUUGAUCAAAAAAAUGCUCUAGCACCGAAUUAUAAAAAUGCUGUCUUCUCAUUUCAAAAUGUGCCAAAUGGAUCGACGUCUUAGCUCAAGGUCCAUUUGCUUCUCCUGCUUCUCAUGGUUUCAUUUCUGUGACGUGUUAGAUGCUUACUUUACAUGUAUUCAUGAUAUGAAAAAAAAGGUAUAGAGUGCAAUUGCAUGUGGAAUUUUGUUUUUCGAUCAUGAUCUUUAGUGCUGGAAUUAUUUCCAAAAUUAAAGGUGGUAAAAAAUAACCUGUUGCUGUUAACUAUGAUGUUACGAAUGAAUAGUUGAUGGACGGAGGUUAAAACCAUGACAGGCCCAGCGUGUCACGGAGUCAUCACCAGAGGGCAGCAUUAUAUCUCAGCAGAGAUUCUGUGUGGAGGACGGGGACAUGCUGACGAGUUCUCCACAGGAACAGCUACAAUCCUUCAUUGAUGGCAACGUUAAAAAAAUCGGAAAAAGCAGAACAUAAAUAUGAAAGAAAUAGAAACAAAAGAACCACAUGAAAUGCAAACAAAGGAAGAUGCAAAAUGUAAAUCAUAAUUCUACAAUACAUAGAUAAAUAUGCAUGGAUAAU
Molecule: RNA transcript, 2030 nt
Organism: Cyclopterus lumpus (lumpfish)
Lineage: Eukaryota; Metazoa; Chordata; Actinopteri; Perciformes; Cyclopteridae
Gene name: STKc_p38 domain-containing protein
Exons: 13
Source: RefSeq, a predicted model, not a curated record